UACGUAGGGUGCGAGCGUUAAUCGGAAUUACUGGGCGUAAAGCGUGCGCAGGCGGUUAUUAUAAGACAGAUGUGAAAUACCCGGGCCGUCAACCUACGGGAACGUAGCAUUAGUUGACUGUAUAGACGUAGAGUGCGGCAGAGGGGGAUGGAAUUCCGCGUGUAGCAGUGAAAUGCGUAGAUAUGCGGAGGAACACCGAUGGCGAAGGCAAUCCCCU
Molecule: ribosomal RNA, 217 nt
Filed under: uncultured bacterium
Lineage: Bacteria
Description: partial 16S ribosomal RNA
Rfam family: Bacterial small subunit ribosomal RNA
Source: RNAcentral